AUCGCUUCUCGGCCUUUUGGCUAAGAUCAAGUGUAAAAAUCAAAUAGAAAAGUACUCUGAAUGAAUGCAUUUAUUCUUCCCCUUUUGAGGGAUGGUUUUCCUCUGUGCUUCGAAUCAAGGAAAUCACAAAUGGUUUCUUUGUCUCUGUCAUGUUUGACAGUAUCUGACAUUAAGGGAACACCUUAU
This is a small nuclear RNA of 186 nucleotides. Its record names the gene U2. It matches the Rfam family "U2 spliceosomal RNA". From Rfam's summary of the family: U2 is a small nuclear RNA (snRNA) component of the spliceosome (involved in pre-mRNA splicing). Complementary binding between U2 snRNA (in an area lying towards the 5' end but 3' to hairpin I) and the branchpoint sequence (BPS) of the intron results the bulging out of an unpaired adenosine, on the BPS, which initiates a nucleophilic attack at the intronic 5' splice site, thus starting the first of two transesterification reactions that mediate splicing. The record is from Ensembl.